GAUGAACGCUAGCGGCAGGCUUAAUACAUGCAAGUCGAGGGGCAGCACGAAUAGCAAUAUUUGGUGGCGACCGGCGCACGGGUGCGUAACACGUAUACAAUCUACCUUAAACGAGGGGGAUAGCCUUUCGAAAGAGAGAUUAAUACCCCGUAAUAAAUUGAAUGGCAUCAUUUGAUUUUGAAAGCUCCGGCGGUUUGAGAUGAGUAUGCGUCUGAUUAGCUAGUUGGUGAGGUAACGGCUCACCAAGGCGACGAUCAGUAGGGGAUCUGAGAGGACUAACCCCCACACUGGUACUGAGACACGGACCAGACUCCUACGGGAGGCAGCAGUAAGGAAUAUUGGUCAAUGGAGGCAACUCUGAACCAGCCAUGCCGCGUGCAGGAUGACGGCCCUAUGGGUUGUAAACUGCUUUUAUACAAGAGAAAACCCUGGUACGUGUACCAGGUUGAUAGUAUUGUAAGAAUAAGCAUCGGCUAACUUCGUG
Molecule: ribosomal RNA, 484 nt
Filed under: uncultured bacterium
Lineage: Bacteria
Description: bacterial SSU rRNA
Rfam family: Bacterial small subunit ribosomal RNA
Source: RNAcentral